UGCUGCAUGGUUGUCGUCAGCUCGUGCCGUGAGGUGUCGGGUUAAGUCCCAUAACGAGCGCAACCCUACCUUUAGUUGCCAUCAGGUAAUGCUGGGGACUCUAAAGGAACUGCCUACGCAAGUAGUGAGGAAGCGGGGAUGACGUCAAAUCAGCACGGCCCUUACGUCCAGGGCUACACACGUGCUACAAUGGCCGAUACAGAGGGCAGCUACCUGGUGACAGGAUGCAAAUCUCCAAAGUCGGUCUCAGUUCGGAUCGGAGUCUGCAACCCGACUCCGUGAAGUUGGAUUCGCUAGUAAUCGCGCAUCAGCCAUGGCGCGGUGAAUACGUUCCCGGGCCUU
RNAcentral lists this ribosomal RNA (342 nucleotides) under uncultured Sphingobacteriales bacterium. Its description in RNAcentral is "bacterial SSU rRNA". It matches the Rfam family "Bacterial small subunit ribosomal RNA", at positions 1039 to 1382 of the family's 1533-position model. Lineage: Bacteria; Pseudomonadati; Bacteroidota; Sphingobacteriia; Sphingobacteriales. The record is from RNAcentral.